CGAAAUUGGUAGACGCUACGGACUUUCGUGAGGGUUCAAGUCCCUCUAUCCCCAAAAAGGGGCCCACUGGACUCC
RNAcentral lists this transfer RNA (75 nucleotides) under Salix babylonica. RNAcentral's name for it is "tRNA-Leu". Lineage: Eukaryota; Viridiplantae; Streptophyta; Magnoliopsida; Malpighiales; Salicaceae. The record is from RNAcentral.